AUUUAAAGUCUAAGUAGAAACCUAUAGACUUGGUGCCUGGAUUUAAACAGUGUAAUAGUACACCAUAAUGCUAAGUACCUACGCUUUAUCCAGUAGCUGACGUAACCAACACUGUUUCUUGAAAAUUGAAAACCUCUACCGUAUCUCUAGCGUGAUAUUUGCUGUGGCGCUCGUCUGGAUAUUACGAAUUAUUAUUUUGACAGUUGAGUUGGCAGAUGAACCACGAAAGUUGGCAUUUUUGCCACGCCAAACGUGAUCAUCGGCCAUCGCUUAUAGAUCCCCGAUUCCCCACUUCGCAUAAAACCAAUAACGCCUACCCUUUUUAUUUAGCAAUAUUUUACAUCAAGUUAGAAAUUCAAACGCUAUACAUCCGUUUCAUCACGUCCACAAUUUACGGUCGACUAUCGCACUCAAAACCAACCGCUAUCUUACGACUUUUCAUGUUUAAGUCAGCAACUUGUUUGUCGUGGAAUCAUCCCGCGGUGAUAAGGAUAACCCAGGGUUAUCGGCUGGGCACGAGACCCUGUCCGUGUUAUUUAUAACUAACGUCUCGGCCUAGAACACGUGUACUACUAGCAACAUUUAACUAACCAUUAUUAGACUUUAUCUCCAUGCAAUAAGGUUUACGAAUGACUAGCGUAGGAUAUAGUACUCAUGUGUGCAUUGGCAUGGCCUUAUCAGUGGAAAUGUCCAUGCAGGUAUGCAGUAAAGGCGUGAACACAUUUACAAGAUGUGCGUGCAGCGCAUUCCAUUAGCGCACGGUACUCUGAUAGCCCAGCGUUAAGAGCUGUCUAGGAGAGAGAGAGAGAAAAAUAAUAUAAAGCAGUAUCGUAAUGCAGGCAGGAACCUAAGCAGCAAAUACGUUUAAGAACCCUUAGAAUAACUUACCGUUGCACGUUGGUAUAGCGCCGCCAAAACGUUUUCAAAUGUAGAAGCCCGACAGCAUUUUUUUGCAAUGGUAGCACCAUGGGACAAUCAUCGUCGCGUCCAAAUAUCCAAAACUGCCGAUCUCGAGACUUCAAUAGGAGGACGGAGGUCGUUUAGGUUGAGGUACAUAUACUCCUCACAAACACACAGGCAAUUCUGCAAUUUUAACAGAUUAAUAUUAAUUUUAAAGCGUGUGAAACCACAUUACUAUGUAAUUUGUAUAUAUGUAUACACAUAAUAGAACAUUACAACACACCUUGUAUGAAUAUUGCUUAAAACAGUAUACUUUAAUAAGCAUAUAGUAAAUCCUCGUUUAUUGGUAUUAUAUUUAUACUUUUAGUUAGAAGAGGCUCUUAUGUUACUAUGUAAUAAUACAAUUGAAGUGUUUAUUGUUACUUAUAGAAAACUGCAAUUCUAAAAAUAUAGGUACUAGUACUAUUUACUAUAACCUAAGUAUAGGCCGUGUUGUACUUAACCAAUAUAAGUAAUGUAAUAGUAAGCAAAGUGGGAUAUUGUGAACUAC
Long non-coding RNA from Cydia pomonella (codling moth), 1450 nucleotides. RefSeq lists it as uncharacterized. Lineage: Eukaryota; Metazoa; Arthropoda; Insecta; Lepidoptera; Tortricidae. The transcript has 2 exons. The record is from RefSeq and is a predicted model, not a curated record.